RNAcentral lists this ribosomal RNA (494 nucleotides) under uncultured bacterium. Its description in RNAcentral is "partial 16S ribosomal RNA". It matches the Rfam family "Bacterial small subunit ribosomal RNA", at positions 29 to 507 of the family's 1533-position model. The record is from RNAcentral.
ACGCACGCUGGCGGCGUGCCUAAUACAUGCAAGUAGAACGCUGAAGGCGGAGCUUGCUUCUCUGGAUGAGUUGCGAACGGGUGAGUAACGCGUAGGUAACCUGCCUGGUAGCGGGGGAUAACUAUUGGAAACGAUAGCUAGUACCGCAUAAGAGUAGAUGUUGCAUGACAUUUGCUUAAAAGGUGCAAUUGCAUCACUACCAGAUGGACCUGCGUUGUAUUAGCUAGUUGGUGGGGUAACGGCUCACCAAGGCGACGAUACAUAGCCGACCUGAGAGGGUGAUCGGCCACACUGGGACUGAGACACGGCCCAGACUCCUACGGGAGGCAGCAGUAGGGAAUCUUCGGCAAUGGACGGAAGUCUGACCGAGCAACGCCGCGUGAGUGAAGAAGGUUUUCGGAUCGUAAAGCUCUGUUGUAAGAGAAGAACGAGUGUGAGAGUGGAAAGUUCACACUGUGACGGUAGCUUACCAGAAAGAGACGGCUAACUACGUG